This 460-nucleotide ribosomal RNA is filed under the name uncultured bacterium. Its description in RNAcentral is "partial 16S ribosomal RNA". It matches the Rfam family "Bacterial small subunit ribosomal RNA", at positions 338 to 795 of the family's 1533-position model. The record is from RNAcentral.
CCUACGGGAGGCAGCAGUGAGGAAUAUUGGUCAAUGGACGAGAGUCUGAACCAGCCAAGUAGCGUGAAGGAUGACUGCCCUAUGGGUUGUAAACUUCUUUUAUAAAGGAAUAAAACGAGGCACGUGUGCCUUUUUGCAUGUACUUUAUGAAUAAGGAUCGGCUAACUCCGUGCCAGCAGCCGCGGUAAUACGGAGGAUCCGAGCGUUAACCGGUUUUAUUGGGUUUAAAGGGAGCGUAGAUGGGUUGUUAAGUCAGUUGUGAAAGUUUGCGGCUCAACCGUAAAAUUGCAAUUGAUACUGGCAGGCUUGAGUACAGUUGAGGUAAGCGGAAUUCGUGGUGUAGCGGUGAAAUGCUUAGAUAUCACGAAGAACUCCGAUUGCGAAGGCAGCUUACUAAGCUGCCACUGACAUUGAUGCUCGAAAGUGUGGGUAGCAAACAGGAUUAGAUACCCGAGUAGUC